GAUGAACGCUGGCGGCGUGCCUAAUUCAUGCAAGUCGAGCGAACAGACGAGGAGCUUGCUCCUCUGACGUUAGCGGCGGACGGGUGAGUAACACGUGGAUAACCUACCUAUAAGACUGGGAUAACUUCGGGAAACCGGAGCUAAUACCGGAUAAUAUAUUGAACCGCAUGGUUCAAUAGUGAAAGACGGUUUUGCUGUCACUUAUAGAUGGAUCCGCGCCGCAUUAGCUAGUUGGUAAGGUAACGGCUUACCAAGGCAACGAUGCUUAGCCGACCUGGAAGGGGGGUAGGCCACAGUGGAAGCGAAACACGGUCCAGAGGCCUAAGGGAGGCAGCAGUAGGGUAUCUUCCGCAAUGGGCGAAAGCAUGACGGAGCAACGCCGAGGGAGUGACGAAGGUCUUGGGAUCGGAAAAACCUGUUAUUAGGGAAGAACAAAUGUGUAAGUAAAUGUGCACAUCUUGACGGUACCUAAUCAGAAAGCCACGGCUAAGUAGGUG
Molecule: ribosomal RNA, 497 nt
Filed under: uncultured bacterium
Lineage: Bacteria
Description: partial 16S ribosomal RNA
Rfam family: Bacterial small subunit ribosomal RNA
Source: RNAcentral